Molecule: ribosomal RNA, 492 nt
Filed under: uncultured bacterium
Lineage: Bacteria
Description: partial 16S ribosomal RNA
Rfam family: Bacterial small subunit ribosomal RNA
Source: RNAcentral
AGUGAACGCUGGCGGUAGGCCUAACACAUGCAAGUCGAACGGCAGCACAGUAAGAGCUUGCUCUUACGGGUGGCGAGUGGCGGACGGGUGAGGAAUACAUCGGAAUCUACUUUUUCGUGGGGGAUAACGUAGGGAAACUUACGCUAAUACCGCAUACGACCUACGGGUGAAAGCAGGGGAUCUUCGGACCUUGCGCGAUUGAAUGAGCCGAUGUCGGAUUAGCUAGUUGGCGGGGUAAAGGCCCACCAAGGCGACGAUCCGUAGCUGGUCUGAGAGGAUGAUCAGCCACACUGGAACUGGGACACGGUCCAGACUCCUACGGGAGGCAGCAGUGGGGAAUAUUGGACAAUGGGCGCAAGCCUGAUCCAGCCAUACCGCGUGGGUGAAGAAGGCCUUCGGGUUGUAAAGCCCUUUGGUUGGGAAAGAAAAGCAGCAGGUUAAUACCCCGCUGUUCUGACGGUACCCAAAGAAUAAGCACCGGCUAACUUCGUG